Puntigrus tetrazona (Sumatra barb) is the source of this 1275-nucleotide long non-coding RNA. RefSeq lists it as uncharacterized. The record is from RefSeq and is a predicted model, not a curated record. Lineage: Eukaryota; Metazoa; Chordata; Actinopteri; Cypriniformes; Cyprinidae. The transcript is spliced from 3 exons.
GCGCGAAUUGCUAAGCGCAUAUCAGGAUAAUCCCUCUUCUUUGGACUUCAUGCAUAAUGCAUCAACCUAAUCCUCAAGAAUAGGUGGCAGGUGAUUAUAAUUACUCAGGAGGAGGAGGUCGCUGGCGGAGUGACAUAAUGCGGCGGUGAUCCUGUGUGAAAGCUGAAGUCAAGACUUUUAUCAACGCCCCGUGGGAUGCUCGCUCUGAUCUCCAAACCCAGAGACCCAUCUCCAAACGCCAAUGCCCAAUCCCCAGGUGUCAGUAAAUAAACCCCAGAGCUCACUGUGCCUACUUUUCACAGGUAGAUGCUAAAAACAUUACUAUUAUUGAUAGACUGACCAGAGGAAAAAGGUACGCUUAGUAGCUUUUUAGCUUAUGCUAUAUCAAGGUUUUUUUUUCAUUACUUUAUACUAACAACUUAUUAACACAAUGAAAAUGUUUCAAAUCUGUUGAUUAACUGCUGCCCAUCACAUAUAUACUGCUGACCUCUAAAUGUAUAUCUUUGGAUUUAAUACAAAAUGAUUUUAUUUGCACAUUGUUGGUGGUUAGCACUACAGAUGCGAUUAUCUAAACAUGACAUAUUGAGAACUACAAACAGUAAUGCCCUGUAAAUGCCCAGCUUUUGAAUUUAAAAUACAUAAUUGAACGAUUCACGUUAUAUGAUUUGUAUAAUCAGUUAAAGAAUACAUUAUAAAGAAUAUAAAAGUUUUACACUUUAUUUCAGCUCUGUUUGCUAAGAGAAUAGGUGGAGACAGAUUAUUACAGUGAGUCAAAUGAAUCAUUAUUCACUCAUACAAUCACGAAAUGUCUUUUUUCACUAAUUCAUUUGGUUAUAAAGCAAGCCAUUGCCUUCAUUAUUGAGUCACUGAAUUGCUCACUAAACCAUUUUGUUUAAAAAUGCGAAUUAAUUCAGAAACGGAACUCAACUGCCUGCAUUUUCUGCUUUGACUUUUUAAUUUUUUACAUUGGAUGAAAAAAAAUACACAGCAUUGCCAGUAACAGGUAAUAUUAAAUAGCUUUUAUUUUAGACACAGUAUUUUCUUGUUUACUGUUGUAUCCACCAUGUUUUACACAGCCAUUUGUAUGUUGUAUCUGGUGUCAUCCACUUUCAGUUAUUAUAGCUGUACAAAAGCAGUCUGUUAUGCUGCUUCAUUAUUAAUCACCGUAUUAACACACAGCAUAAACACUCUGUUUUUUAAUAAUCAAAAAAUACCAAGUGAACUUUUCUAGGGUUAUUUUUUAGGAAAUGUGGUCGUGAAGGUUACAUAAGUGGA